GUUUGGAUUAAAUUUUUUUGAUCUUACUUAAAAAAUAGGGAGCUGUCCCUUACUGUGGUGUGCAAGCCCUCAAUCUACUAGGCUAAACCAGGAGAUGAGAGGGAAGCCUAAAGCAGUAAUCACGGUGCCCACUUGAACUGUUGGUUCAAGAAAAUUACCGAACCAC
RNAcentral lists this non-coding RNA (166 nucleotides) under Nitrospirae bacterium RIFCSPHIGHO2_02_FULL_40_19. RNAcentral describes it as "6S RNA". It matches the Rfam family "6S / SsrS RNA", at positions 18 to 170 of the family's 187-position model. Rfam says of the family: E. coli 6S RNA was the first non coding RNA to be sequenced, but its function was unknown until recently. It consists of 184 nucleotides that fold into an extended hairpin structure with a large single-stranded internal bulge. The 6S RNA specifically associates with RNA polymerase holoenzyme containing the sigma70 specificity factor. Lineage: Bacteria; Pseudomonadati; Nitrospirota. The record is from RNAcentral.